AGCCUCCCUUGAGAUACCACCCUUCGCACUCUUGAUGUCUAACCGCGGUCCGUUAUCCGGAUCCGGGACCCUGCGUGGCGGGUAGUUUGACUGGGGCGGUCGCCUCCUAAAGCGUAACGGAGGCGCGCGAAGGUUGGCUCAGAGCGGUCGGAAAUCGCUCGUUGAGUGCAAUGGCAUAAGCCUGCCUGACUGCGAGACUGACAAGUCGAGCAGAGUCGAAAGACGGCCAUAGUGAUCCGGUGGUCCCUCGUGGAAGGGCCAUCGCUCAACGGAUAAAAG
Molecule: ribosomal RNA, 279 nt
Filed under: Leptocylindrus danicus
Lineage: Eukaryota; Bacillariophyta; Leptocylindrophyceae; Leptocylindrales; Leptocylindraceae
Description: partial Bacterial large subunit ribosomal RNA
Rfam family: Bacterial large subunit ribosomal RNA
Source: RNAcentral